UUUUCAUUCCCGUUGUUAUGGAGGUAGGGUCUCCGCGAAUCUGGGGGUGGUAGCUGCGGGCAAAAGCAAAUAAAGAGCUCGAGCUUCUGUGGUCUCUGGGGAGAUGUUCCCGGGAAGCCUGGCUAGAGGGCAGAGGGCAGCUGUUGAGAUGGCGUGGCUCCCCGCCUCCUGCGCUCGCGUGGCCUUCGGCCCGGUGUUGGACAGCCUGGCAGGGCAGCGGGGGGCUGAAUCCGGCUGCCGUAGAUGAGGCUCAUGGAUCACCCUUUUGUGGUAGGGCCACAUCUGCCAGAGCCUGGAGUCUGCGAAGGCCGGGACCCGGUUCUCCGGCCCGCCGUGGGGAGUGUGCAAACCCGAGAGAGCUGGAUUGCCUGCCCACCGCAGAGUGCUGAAGACGGGGUAGCCAUGAGGUUGCAAAUUCGUGAAGAUAUCAGCAGCAUGUUUGGCAGCUGAGUAUUGGAGCAAGGAGCCUGCCACAAGGUUUUGAGAACAGAGUGCCGUUUUAGAGCUGGCGGCAGCAUCUUAGCCCAAAAGAAGGUUAUAUUCCCAGAGGAUGUCAAUCCCAAGGACCAGUAGCUGCCGUCAGUUUGGAUUAUGAAAACUUUAACCAGCAUCAACAUUGGGUGUAGAAACAUGAUUGCUUUGUGUAUCAGAGGACAUGCUCAGCAGAUCCAAGAGAUAUAUUUGGCAACUUUUUCUAGAAAAGGCACAUUGGGUAUCAUUCAUUACAUUCUUGAGUUUUUUUGGGUUUUUUUUUUUUUUUUUGAGACAGUCUUGCUGUGUUGCCCAGGCUGGAAUGUGGUGGCACAAUCACAGCUCAUUGCAGCCUCAAUCACCCAGGCCUAAGCAAUCCUCCCGCCUUGUAGCUGGGACUAUAGCUCACAGCACAUCUGGCUAAAAUUUUUUUUUUGUUGAGGUGGAUUCACUGUGUUACCCAGGCUGGUCUCAAGCUCCUGGGCUCAGAUGGUCCUGCCUCAGCUUCCAAAGGCAUAGGCCACGUUGUAGCUUUGUCCCUUGCCAUCCUGCCCAACAGGGGGUGCUGUACCUUUUAAUGAAUUGACUUUCAUAAAUUGGUUAUGUUGGUGGGCAAGUUCUUUAAGCUGGAAAUUGUAAAUUCUUCCUGAAAUGUUUUUUCAUGCAGUUACCAUGAACUAAAUACUACAAUAAAGGAUGGUCUUGGGUAUCGAUUCUUA
This 1190-nucleotide long non-coding RNA is filed under the name Macaca fascicularis (crab-eating macaque). RNAcentral's name for it is "lncRNA (ENSMFAG00000049655.1)". Lineage: Eukaryota; Metazoa; Chordata; Mammalia; Primates; Cercopithecidae. The record is from RNAcentral.